Long non-coding RNA from Notothenia coriiceps (black rockcod), 263 nucleotides. RefSeq lists it as uncharacterized. The transcript is spliced from 2 exons. NCBI's taxonomy places the organism in Eukaryota, Metazoa, Chordata, Actinopteri, Perciformes, Nototheniidae. The record is from RefSeq and is a predicted model, not a curated record.
AGAGGAGGAGGAGCAAACAGGGGGAGGGAAGUUGAAAGUGAAAGUAUGAAGUCAGACUUGUCAGAGUGCCAGACACCAUUUUACAGCUGGACGGAGCAGGAGGACAACAGGUGUUACUGGUUUGUCUCUCAGACUGGAGAAGAUGAGUGGUUUAAAAGAGGAGGAAGAGGACACAUCUUCAGUCUCCAGCUGUCUGUCUCUGAAGAGUGACUGGUCUAAAGAUGUACCUCUAACCUUCAGUAAUGAACCUGGACCCUCAGACA